Long non-coding RNA from Astatotilapia calliptera (eastern happy), 1736 nucleotides. NCBI's taxonomy places the organism in Eukaryota, Metazoa, Chordata, Actinopteri, Cichliformes, Cichlidae. The record is from Ensembl.
CAGACUCACACACAUUCGACAACAUUUUUAUUAUUUUUCUACUUUUUAUUAAUCAGCAUGCCAGUUUUGCGAAGGACCUGCUGAUGGGAUGCUGGGACUCCACCUGCGCAUAGAGAGAAUGAGUGAGUAUCUUUAUUUUUGUUUGUUUCAUUGCUAUCAAGAGUGUUUCUUUAUGUAGAUCAUUCCUCUUCUCUUGCCUUUGCACCAACUGUAUUUCCUGAAGCUAACAGAGACGCUGAUCUCAAAUGCCAACACGAUCUCUGGCUCCCUCGCCCUCUGGGCCUCUGGUCUGUCUUUUUCUUUCUGGAGAAGGUUGUUCAAGUUUUUCCAGCCUGCAGGAUUCUUCCUGGUUUGCCAGAAGCUGUGUGAUAUGUUUGAUAUUCGGUUGUUCUUGUGCUUUAUAAUGUCAACUAAAUAUCAGACAUAUUCCUACAGAGUCCGGCACUGACUUCUGACCUUGCUUCAUCCCUGAAAAAAGGCCUGUGUGACGUGAGACGUUCUGCAAAAUAAAUAUGGCGCCAAUGGAAAUCUUUACAAGUACAUGAUUGCAAUUCUUAAAUAGCAAAUUUUUAAAAUAUAUACGUAAAUGAUUAAGCUUGAGAAUGAUCUCUUUAUACUCUGAAUGACGCAAAUAAAAAAAAUGAGUGAAUAUCGGCUUCAGCUGUCUGUCCACUCUUUCUCUCAAACACACGCAGGCAUGUACACAAGUACACAAUUACAAUCUUGUUACAAACAGCUGACACAGUAAAGACGUGCAUUGUUUGGUUUUUUUUUUGUUUGUUUUCUCUUUAAACGAGGAUCUGACUGCAUGGAAACAUCCUGCUUCAUGAGCAAAUAGGCGUUGCUGUCAGUGUUUGUCUUACCAGAGAAGAAGUCAGGUCUUUCACGUCCUCCUCUUUAUUCUUCCAAUCAUUUAUUUAUUUAUUUUUUACAUUUCAACAAUUGAAAAAAAAAUUAAACAAAAUAUAAGGACUUUAGGUAAUAUUCUGGUUCCCCAUCUGCUCUCCUGGAGAUUUUCUUUUCCCAUUUUUUUCUGGUAGGAAUGCAAAAUGCGAAAUUUUAUUUUAUUUAAUGUCUGACUAUUAAGUAUCUUUUCCCAUAAAAUGGAAUAGAAUAGCCUUUAUUGUCGUUGUACAUAGUAUUAUCAUGCAAUUUGACUUCGACAAAGAGUCCACCCACUGCAUUCCUCAAAGGACAUUUUAUUAUGCAAUAUCUUAUAUGAAUAGGCUGGAAGGAAUGUGUCAAAUGCAAAACUGGUGGAGCCGGUAGGAAAGAUGGUUAUCUCCUAUUUUCAUUCUUUCUUUUUUAAUUUCUUUUUAUAUUUUGCAGGUUUUCAAUUAGAUAAUGGACGUGCUCCCUAUGAACGAAUCAUACCGUACUUUGUGAUUAUUGCUCCCUUCAAUUUUUUUAAAGGUAGACUUAACAAACUGACAAACACAAUAAAGCAGAGCCCUCGCCCAUAACGACCAGCAGAAAAGUUGUUGGAUGAUAAGUCUAUGAUGAGACAGUGCACAAAAAUUCCAGUCCACUGUGAUCAACUGUCACCAAUCCCUCAAUAAAGUCAUGUAAGCUAAAUGUCAGUUUUUCCAGUGUGAGAAUUCCCAUUAACUCAGCAUAGCAGUACUUUGCUGUGGGUGCAUUCCUGGGACAGGUUUAAUAAAAUGAUUUUCUCUAUGACAAACAGAGCUAACACCUCUGUUUACUUUUAUUUAAGUACGUGUAAGUGUAUUACAAUG